UGCGUAGGUGGUUUCGUAAGUAAGGUGUGAAAGCCCUCGGCUUACCCGGGGAAUUGCGCCUUAUACUGCGAGGCUUGAGGAUUUCAGGGGAAAGGGGAACUCCAGGUGUAGCGGUGAAAUGCGCAGAUAUCUGGGGGAAGGCCGGCGGCGAAGGCGCCUUUCUGGGAAAUUCCUGACACUGAGGCACGAAAGCGUGGGGAGCAAACAGGAUUAGAUACCCUGGUAGUCCACGCCCUAAACGAUGGAUACUAAGUAGGGACCCUGCAAGGGGUUCCUUGCCGGAGCAAAAGCGUUAAGUAUCCCGCCUGGGGAGUAUGGUCGCAAGGCUGAA
Molecule: ribosomal RNA, 331 nt
Filed under: uncultured bacterium
Lineage: Bacteria
Description: bacterial SSU rRNA
Rfam family: Bacterial small subunit ribosomal RNA
Source: RNAcentral